Molecule: unclassified non-coding RNA, 499 nt
Filed under: uncultured Acaulospora
Lineage: Eukaryota; Fungi; Glomeromycota; Glomeromycetes; Diversisporales; Acaulosporaceae
Description: bacterial SSU rRNA
Rfam family: Eukaryotic small subunit ribosomal RNA
Source: RNAcentral
CCAAUAGCGUAUAUUAAAGUUGUUGCAGUUAAAAAGCUCGUAGUUGAAUUUCGGAGUUUGUCGGUUGGUCGGGCUUCACUGUCCGCACUGGCCUGAUGGAUUCCUACCUUCUGAAUAACCAGCAUGCUAUUAAGUUAGUGCGUUGGGGAAGCAGAGCUAUUACCUUGAAAAAAUUAGAGUGCUUAAAGCAGGCUUAUGCUUGAAUAGAUUAGCAUGGAAUAAUAAAAUAGGACGGCAUGGUUCUAUUUUGUUGGUUUCUAGGAUCACCGUAAUGAUUAAUUGGGAUAGUUGGGGGCAUUAGUAUUCAAUUGUCAGAGGUGAAAUUCUUGGAUUUAUUGAAGACUAACUUCUGCGAAAGCAUUUGCCAAGGAUGUUCUCGUCGAUCAAGAACGAAAGUUAGAGGUUCGAAGGCGAUCAGAUACCGCCCUAGUUCUAACCAUAAACUAUGCCUGCCAGCGAUCCGCCGAAGUUCCUCCGAUGACUCGGCGGGCAGCUUCCG